Molecule: ribosomal RNA, 253 nt
Filed under: uncultured bacterium
Lineage: Bacteria
Description: partial 16S ribosomal RNA
Rfam family: Bacterial small subunit ribosomal RNA
Source: RNAcentral
UACGGAGGGAGCUAGCGUUGUUCGGAAUUACUGGGCGUAAAGCGCACGUAGGCGGCUAUUCAAGUCGGGGGUGAAAGCCCGGGGCUCAACCCCGGAACUGCCCUCGAAACUAGAUAGCUAGAAUCUUGGAGAGGCGAGUGGAAUUCCGAGUGUAGAGGUGAAAUUCGUAGAUAUUCGGAAGAACACCAGUGGCGAAGGCGGCUACCUGGACCGGUUCUGACGCUGAGGCGCGAAAGCGUGGGUAGCAAACAGG